GAGGAAUAUUGGUCAAUGGACGAGAGUCUGAACCAGCCCAGUAGCGUGAAGGAUGACUGCCCUAUGGGUUGUUAACUUCUUUUAUAUGGGAAUAAAGUUUUCCACGUGUGGAAUUUUGUAUGUACCAUAUGAAUAAGGAUCGGCUAACUCC
This 151-nucleotide ribosomal RNA is filed under the name uncultured bacterium. RNAcentral describes it as "partial 16S ribosomal RNA". It matches the Rfam family "Bacterial small subunit ribosomal RNA", at positions 356 to 504 of the family's 1533-position model. The record is from RNAcentral.